GAUGAACGCUAGCGAUAGGCCUAACACAUGCAAGUCGAGGGGCAUCACAUGAAGUAGCAAUACGGAUGGUGGCGACCGGCGCACGGGUGAGUAACACGUAUGCAACCUGCCUUCAACAAGGGGAUAACCCGUUGAAAGACGGACUAAUACCCUAUAACACAGGGGUCCCGCAUGGGAAUAUUUGUUAAAGGACAACCGGUUGAAGAUGGGCAUGCGUUCCAUUAGCUAGUUGGCGGGGUAAUGGCCCACCAAGGCAACGAUGGAUAGGGGAACUGAGAGGUUUAUCCCCCACACUGGUACUGAGACACGGACCAGACUCCUACGGGAGGCAGCAGUGAGGAAUAUUGGUCAAUGGACGCAAGUCUGAACCAGCCACGUCGCGUGAAGGAAGACGGCCCUACGGGUUGUAAACUUCUUUUAUACGGGGAAUAAAGUGCCCCACGCGUGGGGUUUUGCAUGUACCGUAUGAAUAAGGAUCGGCUAACUCCGUG
Molecule: ribosomal RNA, 491 nt
Filed under: uncultured bacterium
Lineage: Bacteria
Description: bacterial SSU rRNA
Rfam family: Bacterial small subunit ribosomal RNA
Source: RNAcentral